AGCAGUUUCAGGAAACAGGAAAAUAACUAUGUCAAUGUUCCUAAGUUAAUUAUUAAAUGUCAUUAUGAUGUGGUUAUACAGCUCAAAUCAGUUCAGGUUUUGUUCUUAUCUGACAGUGUCAGUGCAGUUAGUUUGAUCAUAUUUUCUGGCAGCUCUGUUCUGGCGUAAUUAAACAAACAAUGUGACGUGAUUCCAGUCUGCAUCAUGAGUGUGUUUUUAUUAUUCUGAAUCUUAUAUACACCUCCUUGACUGAAAACUGAAAUGCACCAGAGAGAAAUUAAGUUCAUUGCUGAGUUGUAGUCUUUCCGGGCAGCAUUCAGGCUUGACUGUUUGCAUGAUGAUCUUGCUAUUUGCGAUGUGGUCCUCGCUGCUCUUGACAUAACAGAUGAUAAAUAACUCUUGUGUUGUUUAAUCACAGCAACAAUGGCUUCACCGAGAGGCCACCAUCGGCGCAGAAGCAUGGAGGAACCGGUUAACAUGGCAUCUGAUGUUAUUCAUCUCAAAGAGGAAUUGACUAGACUUCAAAAGAACAAUUUUCCAGAAUGCAUCAAACAUAUAGAGAAAAUCAGUGAUCUCAUCGAUGAGUUUGACAAUGGUUACAGACUUACUAUUUAUGUCCUCAAAGGAGCAGUAAUAACUGGAGGAAUCACGAUGGUGUUGUUUGCUUUAUCAUUUUUUGUCACUGAUGAAGAGGUUUCUGAAUUUUUUUAUGCAGCAGGGGCAGCUACAGCUGUAGUUGCUGUAUUAAGUGUUGCUUUUGGGCUAAACAG
This is a long non-coding RNA of Cyprinus carpio (common carp), 770 nucleotides long. RefSeq lists it as uncharacterized. NCBI's taxonomy places the organism in Eukaryota, Metazoa, Chordata, Actinopteri, Cypriniformes, Cyprinidae. The record is from RefSeq and is a predicted model, not a curated record. The transcript has 2 exons.